Molecule: small nuclear RNA, 18 nt
Filed under: Arabidopsis thaliana (thale cress)
Lineage: Eukaryota; Viridiplantae; Streptophyta; Magnoliopsida; Brassicales; Brassicaceae
Description: snRNA_17207
Source: RNAcentral
CUUUGUUCUUGAAGUUGU